CUUGCAUAUAAUUACAUAAAUUAUGACUAAAAAAAAUAAAUGGCAAUUAAAGUUAAUUUCAUUAAUUUUAACAUUAAAAACAUUAUUUGCCAGAAGACUCGGGGCACUCUCCGGUUUAUUUAAUGUUUUUCUUUUUUUUUCUUCUUUUAUUUUCUUGCUGUUAUCGUUUGCUCUUUUAUUGUAUCUAACCGAUAAUAAUUGCCUAGCGAUAAAACCAUUUAUUACGGGAAGUCGCAAUAAUUUAUACAAAAUAAAACACAUUAAAUGCGAGACUCGUAAGCGCAUUUAUUCUUCGACUACAAAACGGUAGGAAGGAACUCCAGGUUGUUACAAGAAUAUAUAAACCUAGAACGUUAUGAACAUGUUUGAAUACCGAUGAAUAAUAUAAAUAUAAAUCGAUACGAUCUAAUAAUUCUUGGACGUUUUCAUUAUAUUCCCCGAAACGAUCUAAUAAAAUAUUAAGAGCCGCAUGAUGUUUUAAUACCGAUUAUCGAGAUAAAAUUAUAUGGUAAGUUUUGUUAAUGAUAUCGUGACAGUUAAUGCCAUCCAUGCGAAAAGUGGAAAUUAAUUUUGGUUGAAGAAAUUCUCGAUUUUACCCAUCGAAAUGAAUAUUUUAAGAAUGCCAUUCUCGGUGAUGGUAAUCGAGAAGAAAACGAAGAAGAUUUUUCUCCAUUUAAAGUCGCGUAGGAAUCUUGAAAAGUUUACCAGAAACGCCAUCUGUUGCAGUUUUAACGCACUUUAAAGGAGUUUUAACCCUCAUAAAAAAAAAUGGCUUCUGUGUUUAACAAAAGCAAACAAGUUAUUAGUAGAAGGUACGAAUUAAUUCGCGGAGUUAUAGCCGAGUAAGUAUUUUUAAUAAUUUAUUCUACUGUUAAUGAAUGAAGUGGAUCGAGACGGAAUUUAGAAAGUUUUGUGCUUUCGCGCCAACACUACACAGAAAAACGUAGUUAAAAUUAGUAUUGUUUGAGGAGAAAUUUCGCCGUGUGCCAUAACGAAGCGAAUAAGAAAAUUUGGAAAUUUUCUUUUGUCAUUUUCUUUCUUUUUUUUAAAGAGAAUGCAAUGUUCUAAAGGAUAAACCGCAUCGAUUUGAUGACGAUUCGGAUAUGAGAAAAUACGUCCAAUGAAUACACAACUAACAUUUUCCAGAGUUUGAUAAAAGUACCUUAUAGGACAAGGCUCAUAACGUAUUGCGGCCAGCACACUAUUAUAAAAACCAUAGAAUAGCAGUCAAUUUAAUGCGAAAGUCCGACUUCUGCAUUUUAAAGAGCGCUCUCUUUGGAGUUAGAAAAUCAUCAAAAGUCCCAUCGAGAUUUUUAUCUCAUCAAGCAUGACCAAAUGGGUUUUCUAAUAAAACACUGGAGUAUAGAAUCACGGUAUUUUCUUCGACAUUUCUUCGAAUGGUUUUUAUUGGAAAUAACCCCCCAGUCCAGUAAAGUAUAACGGUUGCAAAAGAGAUAUCUUCUCUUUUCUUCCAAUAAUUUAAAUUGUUCCAGGUCAUUUCUUAUAAAAUAUUAAAUUAUUCCGAAGGAGAGC
This 1533-nucleotide long non-coding RNA is filed under the name Androctonus crassicauda. The record is from RNAcentral. Lineage: Eukaryota; Metazoa; Arthropoda; Arachnida; Scorpiones; Buthidae.